CCUACGGGUGGCAGCAGUAGGGAAUAUUGCUCAAUGGGGGAAACCCUGAAGCAGCAACGCCGCGUGGAGGAUGAAGGUUUUCGGAGUGUAAACUCCUUUUGUUAGAGAAGAUAAUGACGGUAUCUAACGAAUAAGCACCGGCUAACUCCGUGCCAGCAGCCGCGGUAAUACGGAGGGUGCAAGCGUUAUUCGGAAUCACUGGGCGUAAAGAGGGCGUAGGCGGGAUAGCAAGUCAGAUGUGAAAUCCUAUGGCUUAACCAUAGAACUGCAUUUGAAACUGUUAUUCUAGAGUAUGGGAGAGGUAGGUGGAAUUCUUGGUGUAGGGGUAAAAUCCGUAGAGAUCAAGAAGAAUACUGAUUGCGAAGGCGACCUGCUAGAACGUAACUGACGCUGAUGCGCGAAAGCGUGGGGAGCAAACAGGAUUAGAUACCCGAGUAGUC
Molecule: ribosomal RNA, 440 nt
Filed under: uncultured bacterium
Lineage: Bacteria
Description: partial 16S ribosomal RNA
Rfam family: Bacterial small subunit ribosomal RNA
Source: RNAcentral